UGCGCUCCACUGGCAGGGAGUGACAGUUGUUACCGGUUCCCUGGUCAGAGUGCAAACCUUGGUUUCCAAAGCCGCUGAGGUAGAGAGCUGGCAGAAAACCCUGCAGCGGUGACAGAGACUCGGGGACGUAGCUGGCAUAAGACAGGAGCGGGAGAGAUGGGGCGCAGCGGAGGAAAGUGACAGGUGCUGUAGCGCUGCAUAUAGACUUGCCCCUGCUCCCGGGUGUGAGGAGUGAGGUCCCUCUGGAUCCAUGAUAGCAGCGGUUAGAGAGGCUUUGUGGAACUGUACUGAUUCCUACGCAGCUGAGGCAGAGCUGUAUGUGAGGUGUGUCGGGGGCAGAACCGGACUGCUCAGCCAGUAGGAGAGGAGCAGGAGAAGUCGGAGGAGUAUCCUAAGGCUAGGAAGAAUUCACAGGAGGUCACCACAUCAGAGAAGGGGUCCUGCUACACAGAGGCAACAACGUGUUUGGCUGGAUGUAGAAGCUGCUGGAACAACACAGCGACGCCAGCAGGCACAGGUUCAGGUACACCGGACUGAAGAGGACCUGUAAAUUAUUUUGGAGCCAGUGGAGGCAUUUCCUGCAGAAGAACAAACAACACAGGCAUCCAUUACAGAAAGUCAACCCACUGUCCUGGAAACCCAGUAUAUACAAAGCACACCACCACCCCCUACUGCAGAUCAACUUGCUAGGUCAUUAGACACUUUUAAAUCAAAGCUUGAUUCCAUUGCCACCCAAAGCCAACAAAUGCUCCAUAUGCAGGGCUACCUUAAAAAUAUGUGCCAGCAACUACAUAAAGUAGCACACACUGAAAGAGUAGCUGAGGGUACCAGAAUCCGGAUGGCAACAACUCUAGAUACGAGGCUAUCUGAAAUUAGUAAUGCACUAAGGGCCCAAACAGAUGCCAUUAGGGCACAGAAUGAAACAAUUGGGGCCUAAACAGAUGCCAUAAGGUCACAAACAAAUGCAUUAGUGUCCCUACACACACACACACCUUAUUGCUGAAGGCCAACCAAUAAUUCUAAAUGCACCUUCAACUAUAAGUAGUGUAUCAAGUACACCUAUAAGUACCUCUCCUACUACUCCCCCAUGCCGUAGUGUAAGAAUAAGGGGUUGGGUACCAAAAGUAUGCAAGUCUGCUUGCAGCAGGUCACAAAGCAAAAAAUUACGUGGGUCAACAUUUAAGAU
This is a long non-coding RNA of Pseudophryne corroboree (corroboree frog), 1186 nucleotides long. RefSeq lists it as uncharacterized. The record is from RefSeq and is a predicted model, not a curated record. NCBI's taxonomy places the organism in Eukaryota, Metazoa, Chordata, Amphibia, Anura, Myobatrachidae. The transcript is spliced from 3 exons.